This 251-nucleotide ribosomal RNA is filed under the name uncultured prokaryote. RNAcentral's name for it is "partial 16S rRNA". It matches the Rfam family "Bacterial small subunit ribosomal RNA", at positions 525 to 775 of the family's 1533-position model. The record is from RNAcentral.
ACGGAGGGUGCUAGCGUUGUUCGGAUUUACUGGGCGUAAAGGGCGCGUAGGCGGCCUGAUCAGUCGGGUGUGAAAGCCCGGGGCUCAACCCCGGAACGGCACCCGAGACGGUCAGGCUGGAGACCGGGAGAGGAGGGUGGAAUAGCCAGUGUAGAGGUGAAAUUCGUAGAUAUUGGCUGGAACACCGGUGGCGAAAGCGGCUCUCUGGCCCGGUUCUGACGCUGAGGCGCGAAAGCGUUGGGAGCAAACAG